AGUGAACGCUGGCGGUAGGCCUAACACAUGCAAGUCGAACGGCAGCACAGGAGAGCUUGCUCUCUGGGUGGCGAGUGGCGGACGGGUGAGGAAUACAUCGGAAUCUACCUUUUCGUGGGGGAUAACGUAGGGAAACUUACGCUAAUACCGCAUACGACCUUCGGGUGAAAGCAGGGGACCUUCGGGCCUUGCGCGGAUAGAUGAGCCGAUGUCGGAUUAGCUAGUUGGCGGGGUAAAGGCCCACCAAGGCGACGAUCCGUAGCUGGUCUGAGAGGAUGAUCAGCCACACUGGAACUGGGACACGAUCCAGACUCCUACGGGAGGCAGCAGUGGGGAAUAUUGGACAAUGGGCGCAAGCCUGAUCCAGCCAUACCGCGUGGGUGAAGAAGGCCUUCGGGUUGUAAAGCCCUUUUGUUGGGAAAGAAAAGCAGCCAGUUAAUACCUGGUUGUUCUGACGGUACCCAAAGAAUAAGCACCGGCUAACUUCGUGCCAGCCGCCGCAGUAA
This 506-nucleotide ribosomal RNA is filed under the name uncultured bacterium. Its description in RNAcentral is "partial 16S ribosomal RNA". It matches the Rfam family "Bacterial small subunit ribosomal RNA", at positions 29 to 523 of the family's 1533-position model. The record is from RNAcentral.